ACGACCUUACUUGAACAGGAUCUGUUCUAUAGGAUCGUACCUCUGUAUCCUUGGGUUCUAAGGAGACCAGAACUAAAGUCUGGUCGAUGAAUCAUGCCCGCACGAUCAGAGCGUGAUUAAUGUCAGAUGGUCUAUGAUCUAGAUCAUCAGCUGUGGAGGAUCGUUCUCAGCUCGUCAUCCGACGGUUGAGAUGGUCGUGCGGUUGUCUGACAGACU
RNAcentral lists this small nucleolar RNA (216 nucleotides) under Macleaya cordata. RNAcentral describes it as "Plant small nucleolar RNA U3". It matches the Rfam family "Plant small nucleolar RNA U3". Rfam says of the family: Small nucleolar RNAs (snoRNAs) are involved in the processing and modification of rRNA in the nucleolus. There are two main classes of snoRNAs: the box C/D class, and the box H/ACA class. U3 snoRNA is a member of the box C/D class. The record is from Rfam by way of RNAcentral. Lineage: Eukaryota; Viridiplantae; Streptophyta; Magnoliopsida; Ranunculales; Papaveraceae.